Molecule: long non-coding RNA, 249 nt
Filed under: Erythranthe guttata (spotted monkey flower)
Lineage: Eukaryota; Viridiplantae; Streptophyta; Magnoliopsida; Lamiales; Phrymaceae
Description: long non-coding RNA (EGUT_LNC000340)
Source: RNAcentral
GGAGGAUAAUAGGAGAAUUCUAUUAAACUUGAAAACUUGACUUGUUACAAAUGGCUAGAGUUCAUGUGGUAUUUAUAGGAUUUUCCCAACAUGAAUCUAGUCUAGUACAUGUAUCACCAUUUAAUUUAAUUCUUCCCCUCUAACUAGUACAUGAACUUUAAUUAAAACCAAAUACAUGAAUAAGCUAAUACAUGAAUUAACCUUCUAGAAUAUUCCUUAAUACACUUAAUUUAGUUUAUUAUUUCAACA